Molecule: long non-coding RNA, 2171 nt
Organism: Homo sapiens (human)
Lineage: Eukaryota; Metazoa; Chordata; Mammalia; Primates; Hominidae
Exons: 3
Source: RefSeq, a predicted model, not a curated record
AAAAAAAAAAAAAAAAAAAAAAAGUCUUUGUCAUUGUUUCCUUGGUGGCAGUCUGCAACGCAGUUGUCAGACUUGUAUUUGGAGACCCACCACCUAGACACCUAGGAAUUUCCUCUAGGGUUAAAAUCUAUAAAAAUCCACCUUUGUCUGUAGUUUUGUUCAAGAACACCAAAUAACAUUUUGAUGUGUUUCAGGUAAAGAGGGAUGUCUGCACUUAACAAGAAUCUGAUGUUUUAUGGUCAGUAUUGAUCCAUCUUGGAAGAGCUUCAAGAAGAUAUCAUUAGAAUGACCAGAAUCCUCCCAGAUGUAUAAAACUAUUCAUCAAAAUAAAAUCAUUAAUGGAGGUGUUGGGACAUAACUGGCAGAAAUAAAUUAAGCCAGCUAUGUUUACAGUCAACAAAAUCAGUAUUUGUGAAUUCCAUGCAGGCAAAGAACUAAUCACAGUGGUUUUGAUGAUUUUCAUUCUCAAGUGGUGGUGUUGCCUGUUUGGCUUUUAAGGGGGAAAAUAGUUGAGCAAGUCCUUGACAGUGGGACAGCUAGCCAGAUGGGAGCCUGGGGGCCUAAGGAGUGAGACGCCCUUUGCGCGGGAGUGGACAUCUCACCAGUAAGUGGCAGGGGCAUCCUUGCAGACCUGGCUAAGACUCCAGGGAGAAGGCGUUGGUCAGCUCCCCUGAAAAGAAUAAGGAAGUUGCUCCUCCAGGAAAAUCCAGGGCCAGACCUAGAUGAGGAGGGACGAGGGAGGAAGUCCCGGAAGACCUCUCUGCUGUCAUUGACCCCAGUCCUUUGCGGCUCUAAGGUUGCCGCCAAUGGAAUCACCUCCUUAAAACGUCAGUUUCUAGAAGAGCCUCAUUUAAUGCAUGUUACCUGGGAAAGUCGGGUAGCACAUUAACUGUAAGCGCUGAUCCUGAGAGAUCUGGCAGGAAGAUGGGGGUGGAGAAGACUGCUUUGCUGACUCCUCCUUAGGUGAGACUCACCUGGAUGGGCCCCGAUGUAUUAAGCAGCCAGCAGCAGUCACAGCAUGCCGUGUGCCGAGGACAACAAGCAGGAUGCCAACGCUGAUCACUAGAGUGGGAUUCUCUGAAUGCAGCACCGUGGCCACAGACUUUACACAUUUAUCCUCUCUCUCCCCACGGAGGGUGGAAGGGUGAAUAUGUCACAGUAUUCCAAAUCAGUUACGUGGUCUGAAGGACGACAGCCAUCAAAGGCAUCUUGCUCCCGCCCCCUAGUGGAUAAACUAGCACAGACAAAUGCAAAAACAAAGAGGCAUCGCACCCAAGAAAAUGAAACCAAAACCAAAAAGGAAGGAAACCAGAAAGCCACAGAAUGGUACGUAGGCCACAAGCAUGACAAACUCAGUGUGAUUUCUUGUGUUCACCCUCUCACAGACAUCGCUUAUGCAGGUGUUUAGACCUAGAGGACCUCAUAAAAAUGAGUAAAGUUAGAAAUGGGGGGUGAUUUUUCAACCAUAUUGAUAUUCCACGAUUUCUUGUUUGCUGCAUUGACACCAUAGUUAAAGCAAGUUGCAAUUAUGUCUUGGGGACUUUUAUGACAUCACAGAGAACUUGAAAAGGGCAUGAUGGUUGUCAUGGUCCUUCAAACAGGAGAAGGCAGUGACAAGGAGAAAGGCAGUUGCUCUCAUAGAUCAGGGAGAAAGCCAGCUAAACUCCAGGCGAAAUAGAAAUUGCAAGUCUUCUCCUCCCCGCCAAAAAAAAAAAAUGAUUUUCAAAGCUGUAAUUGUAAAUAUACACUAAAAUACCUGGCAAAUGUUUUUUCCAUUCUUCGCAGCCAUUGUGAGUUGUUUCAGGUUGGUAUUUUGGUACCUUCAAAGUGGCUCAUAAUUCUCGCAUUGCUAGGCUUUUGCACCUUAACAGGAUGGGCAGGAAUAGAAGAACCUGAAAGAGGCUUGGUGGUCUCACAGCAGAGGAAAUUGAAGGCUGAAGUCACAAGUGUUGUGUUGACCUUUCCACAUAUGCAAUGGGUGACCACACAGAGGUGGGCCUCAUCUCCUGACACUCGGCCCAGUGUGCAGCCACCUCUGCAUGCUGCUGCCCCAUCUCACCUCACUGGCACCCUCUGCUAUCUGUCUACAGUAUGCAUUCAGCACUCCAUAAUGAGGGUCUAAGGCAUAAGUAAACCAUGCUAAUUAUUAAAAUCUAGGAUUUGGAGAAGAA